GCUAGGCAGCCGCCUAAUCGAGGGUCGGGUGGGCAGCCCGAUCACCGAGCCGGGGAACCAGUUACACGGGGUGAAUCCCCUUCGGCCGCAAGGCCGUCGGGGUAGGGCCGAUCUUCCCGACCCGAACCCGACAGCUAACCCGGUCGGCGGAGUGGGCAGGAAGA
This 164-nucleotide small RNA is filed under the name Nocardia terpenica. Its description in RNAcentral is "c-di-AMP sequence". It matches the Rfam family "c-di-AMP riboswitch aptamer (ydaO/yuaA leader)". Rfam says of the family: This family represents a conserved RNA structure found upstream of the ydaO and yuaA genes in Bacillus subtilis and related genes in other bacteria. The ydaO/yuaA element is thought to act as a genetic "off" switch for the ydaO and yuaA genes in its native state. Lineage: Bacteria; Bacillati; Actinomycetota; Actinomycetes; Mycobacteriales; Nocardiaceae. The record is from Rfam by way of RNAcentral.